CCCUUAGAUGUUCUGGGCCGCACGCGCGCUACACUGACGAUGGCAACGAGUUUUUCCUUCGCCGAAAGGUGUGGGUAAUCUUUUGAAACAUCGUCGUGCUGGGGAUAGAUCAUUGCAAUUUUUGAUCUUGAACGAGGAAUUCCUAGUAAGCGCGAGUCAUCAGCUCGCGUUGAUUACGUCCCUGCCCUUUGUACACACCGCCCGUCGCUACUACCGAUUGAAUGGUUUAGUGAGGACUCCUGAUUGGCGCCGCCGCCCCGGCAACGGAGCAGCGGACUGCCGAAAAGUUGUUCAAACUUGAUCAUUUAGAGGAAGUACAAGUCGUAACA
RNAcentral lists this ribosomal RNA (329 nucleotides) under uncultured eukaryote. Its description in RNAcentral is "partial 18S ribosomal RNA". It matches the Rfam family "Eukaryotic small subunit ribosomal RNA", at positions 1470 to 1796 of the family's 1831-position model. The record is from RNAcentral.